RNAcentral lists this ribosomal RNA (2007 nucleotides) under Listeria monocytogenes. RNAcentral describes it as "partial 23S ribosomal RNA". It matches the Rfam family "Bacterial large subunit ribosomal RNA", at positions 339 to 2344 of the family's 2925-position model. Lineage: Bacteria; Bacillati; Bacillota; Bacilli; Caryophanales; Listeriaceae. The record is from RNAcentral.
GGUCUGGAAAGGCCCGCCAAAGACGGUAACAGCCCGGUAGUUGAAAUGGCUUUCCCUCCAGAGUGGAUCCUGAGUACGGCGGAACACGUGAAAUUCCGUCGGAAUCCGGGAGGACCAUCUCCCAAGGCUAAAUACUCCCUAGUGACCGAUAGUGAACCAGUACCGUGAGGGAAAGGUGAAAAGCACCCCGGAAGGGGAGUGAAACAGUUCCUGAAACCGUGUGCCUACAAGUAGUUAGAGCCCGUUAAUGGGUGAUAGCGUGCCUUUUGUAGAAUGAACCGGCGAGUUACGAUUUGUUGCAAGGUUAAGCGGAAAAAGCGGAGCCGUAGCGAAAGCGAGUCUGAAUAGGGCGCAUAAGUAACAGGUCGUAGACCCGAAACCAGGUGAUCUACCCAUGUCCAGGAUGAAGGUAAGGUAAUACUUACUGGAGGUCCGAACCCACGCACGUUGAAAAGUGCGGGGAUGAGGUGUGGGUAGCGGAGAAAUUCCAAUCGAACUUGGAGAUAGCUGGUUCUCUCCGAAAUAGCUUUAGGGCUAGCCUCGAGGUAAAGAGUCAUGGAGGUAGAGCACUGUUUGGACUAGGGGCCCUUCUCGGGUUACCGAAUUCAGAUAAACUCCGAAUGCCAUGUACUUAUACUCGGGAGUCAGACUGCGAGUGAUAAGAUCCGUAGUCGAAAGGGAAACAGCCCAGACCACCAGUUAAGGUCCCCAAAUAUAUGUUAAGUGGAAAAGGAUGUGGGGUUGCUUAGACAACCAGGAUGUUGGCUUAGAAGCAGCCACCAUUGAAAGAGUGCGUAAUAGCUCACUGGUCGAGUGACCCCGCGCCGAAAAUGUACCGGGGCUAAACAUAUUACCGAAACUGUGGAUGAACCUCUUUAGAGGUUCGUGGUAGGAGAGCGUUCUAAGGGCGGUGAAGUCAGACCGGAAGGACUGGUGGAGCGCUUAGAAGUGAGAAUGCCGGUAUGAGUAGCGAAAGAAGGGUGAGAAUCCCUUCCACCGAAUAUCUAAGGUUUCCUGAGGAAGGCUCGUCCGCUCAGGGUUAGUCGGGACCUAAGCCGAGGCCGAUAGGCGUAGGCGAUGGACAACAGGUAGAGAUUCCUGUACCAGUGCUAAUUGUUUAACCGAUGGGGUGACACAGAAGGAUAGGGAAUCGCACGAAUGGAAAUGUGCGUCCAAGCAGUGAGUGUGAGAAGUAGGCAAAUCCGCUUCUCGCGAAGCAUGAGCUGUGAUGGGGAAGGAAAUUAAGUACGGAAGUUCCUGAUUUCACGCUGUCAAGAAAAGCCUCUAGGAAGAGUAGUACUGCCCGUACCGCAAACCGACACAGGUAGAUGAGGAGAGAAUCCUAAGGUGAGCGAGAGAACUCUCGUUAAGGAACUCGGCAAAAUGACCCCGUAACUUCGGGAGAAGGGGUGCUCUAUUAGGGUGCAAGCCCGAGAGAGCCGCAGUGAAUAGGCCCAGGCGACUGUUUAGCAAAAACACAGGUCUCUGCAAAACCGUAAGGUGACGUAUAGGGGCUGACGCCUGCCCGGUGCUGGAAGGUUAAGAGGAGUGCUUAGCUUCGGCGAAGGUACGAAUUGAAGCCCCAGUAAACGGCGGCCGUAACUAUAACGGUCCUAAGGUAGCGAAAUUCCUUGUCGGGUAAGUUCCGACCCGCACGAAAGGCGCAACGAUCUGGGCACUGUCUCAACGAGAGACUCGGUGAAAUUAUAGUACCUGUGAAGAUGCAGGUUACCCGCGACAGGACGGAAAGACCCCGUGGAGCUUUACUGCAACCUGAUAUGGAAUGUUUGUACCGCUUGUACAGGAUAGGUAGGAGCCGAAGAGACGUGUGCGCUAGCAUACGAGGAGGCAAUGGUGGGAUACUACCCUGGCUGUAUGACCAUUCUAACCCGCCACGCUUAGCGCGUGGGGAGACAGUGUCAGGUGGGCAGUUUGACUGGGGCGGUCGCCUCCUAAAGAGUAACGGAGGCGCCCAAAGGUUCCCUCAGAAUGGAUGGAAAUCAUUCG